UCUGGGCUCGAGCCUGCCUGGAGCCGCCGCCGGUGCAGAUCUUGGUGGUAGUAGCAAAUACUCCAGCGAGGCCCUGGAGGACUGAUGUGGAGAAGGGUUUCGUGUGAACAGCCGUUGCACACGAGUCAGUCGAUCCUAAGCCCUAGGAGAAAUCCGACGCCUACGGCGACGGGAUUUUUGAAAAUGAUUAUGAACCCGUUGAUCGGGCGAAAGGGAAUCCGGUUCCUAUUCCGGAACCCGGCAGCGGAACCGCUGUUUGUCGGGCCCUCACAAGGGGUUCGUCAGGGUAACCUAAAAGGGCCCGGAGACGCCGUCGGGAGCCCCGGAAAGAGUUUUCUUUUCUGCAUGAGCGUUCGAGUUCCCUGGAAUCCUCUCGCAGGGAGAUAGGGUUUGGAACGCGAAGAGCACCGCAGUUGCGGCGGUGCCCGGGAAUUCCCGACGGACCUUGAAAAUCCGGGAGAGGGCCACGUGGAGGUGUCGCGCCGGCUCGUACCCAUAUCCGCAGCAGGUCUCCAAGGUGAAGAGCCUCUAGUCGAUAGAAUAAUGUAGGUAAGGGAAGUCGGCAAAUCGGAUCCGUAACUUCGGG
RNAcentral lists this ribosomal RNA (586 nucleotides) under Ischnura fluviatilis. RNAcentral's name for it is "partial large subunit ribosomal RNA". It matches the Rfam family "Eukaryotic large subunit ribosomal RNA", at positions 1410 to 1940 of the family's 3401-position model. The record is from RNAcentral. Lineage: Eukaryota; Metazoa; Arthropoda; Insecta; Odonata; Coenagrionidae.